CCUACGGGAGGCAGCAGUGAGGAAUAUUGGUCAAUGGCCGGAAGGCUGAACCAGCCAUGCCGCGUGAAGGUCAGUGCCCUAUGGGCGUUAAACUUCUUUUGUGCGGGAGCAAUAAUGGUCACGUGUGGCCAGACGAGAGUACCGUACGAAUAAGCAUCGGCUAACUCCGUGCCAGCAGCCGCGGUAAUACGGGGGAUGCAAGCGUUAUCCGGAUUUAUUGGGUUUAAAGGGUGCGUAGGCUGUGAGGUAAGUCAGCGGUGAAAUGCCCCCGCUCAACGGGGUGAAGUGCUAUUGAUACUGCCUUGCUGGAAUGCGGAUGCCGUGGGAGGAAUGUGUGGUGUAGCGGUGAAAUGCAUAGAUAUCACACAGAACACCGAUUGCGAAGGCAGCUCACGAAUCCGCGAUUGACGUUGAUGCACGAAAGUGUGGGUAUCAAACAGGAUUAGAUACCCUAGUAGUC
Molecule: ribosomal RNA, 460 nt
Filed under: uncultured bacterium
Lineage: Bacteria
Description: partial 16S ribosomal RNA
Rfam family: Bacterial small subunit ribosomal RNA
Source: RNAcentral